UUGAGAAACCCCUAUUUCUUCUUUUGUAGAAGAAGCUUGGAAUCUUACCCUACUCUGUUGUUUUAGAUUAAGAAUCCAAGUUUACGUGUAUUGCUGCGAUUAUUUUCUUUGAUCGAUUAAGGGCUAAAGUUUUUGAAAUUCGAUUGUUUGUGAUAUUGGAAGAGGAGGAGAAUAUACAAUGAUCCUGACCUGGCUAACCCGAAGAUAUAGACGAUAUAGAGGGCUUUAUUAUGUCCGUAAAGCAAUAGACGCAGUAAACAAGAAUAUAUUGAGAACUUGGAACGAGAUAGGCAAGCUUACCUGGAGCAGGCUGACAUAGAAAGCUAAAAAAUAUGUCCGAGAAAACGACAUAGAAGCUACCAGACACCAUUCGAGGGUCAAGUUGCUACUCCAGCAUUCUGUUCAACAAUUCCAGGAAUUACUGAUGCGUUCACACAAAAAAGCUGGGUCCUCUAAAAAGGAUGCGAUUGCAAUUGUUGUGGGAGGACGACGAUCUCACCACUCACAAUCCAAAGCAUGUGUUUACAAUGUCUUUGGCUUUUUGUUUGUUCCUUUUUUUUUUUUUAUCACUUAUUUUGUCUUUUUCUAGCUCCUAAUAUUACACUACCGUUAUGAAUGUGCUAGAAAAGCGGUCGUCUAGAGGUUCCAAAGGGUCUAACUAAGUUUUACUUUGGUUUAUCUCUCUAGUCUCUCUCUAUCUAUAUACUAAUAAUAUUCUAUAUGUCUGUUAUAUAUAUUGAGAUUUGGUCUGGGACUGGGAGAUGAGCUCCAUCGUCAAAAUCAUCACAUUUUUGUAAUUCCACUUCAUCAGCUAUAUAAAGUGAAGUUUCAAUCU
Molecule: long non-coding RNA, 835 nt
Organism: Arabidopsis lyrata subsp. lyrata
Lineage: Eukaryota; Viridiplantae; Streptophyta; Magnoliopsida; Brassicales; Brassicaceae
Exons: 4
Source: RefSeq, a predicted model, not a curated record